This 413-nucleotide unclassified non-coding RNA is filed under the name soil metagenome. RNAcentral describes it as "partial contains 5.8S ribosomal RNA, internal transcribed spacer 2, and large subunit ribosomal RNA". The stretch from base 1 to 120 matches the Rfam family "5.8S ribosomal RNA", at positions 35 to 154 of the family's 154-position model. The record is from RNAcentral.
GAUGAAGAACGUAGUGAAAUGCGAUAAGUAAUGUGAAUUGCAGAAUUCAGUGAAUCAUCGAAUCUUUGAACGCACCUUGCGCUCUUUGGUAUUCCGAAGAGCAUGCCUGUUUGAGUGUCAUGAAAAUAUCAACCUUGACUUGGGUUUUGUGCUCUAGUCUCGGCUUGGAAUUGGGUGCUUGCCGCUUUUACGAGCGGCUCACCUUAAAUGUAUUAGCUGGAUCUGUCUUUGAGACUUGGUUUGACUUGGCGUAAUAAGUAUUUCGCUAAGGACAUUCUUCGGAGUGGCCUCGUUUCUAGGACGCUUGUCCGCUUUCCAAUACAAGUUCCACCUCGUGGACAUGACUUUUUAUUAUCUGGCCUCAAAUCAGGUAGGACUACCCGCUGAACUUAGGCAUAUCAAUAAGCGGAGGA